RNAcentral lists this long non-coding RNA (475 nucleotides) under Mytilus galloprovincialis (Mediterranean mussel). The record is from RNAcentral. Lineage: Eukaryota; Metazoa; Mollusca; Bivalvia; Mytilida; Mytilidae.
CAGGACGUUUGCGUUUUUUACCUUUAGAACGAUAGGACAUUUGCGCUUUAAAUUUUGAAUCACCUGUAUUAAAUUGACCGGUCAUUUGCGCUGUUUUCCUAUUAUCGCCCACCUGUGUUAUUAAUGAGAAGUUAUAUUACGUAAAUGAAUUUAACUUAAAUGUGUCUUUAUUACGACAAAUGGUCCAGAAUCCUUCUAUGACCACUAUAAUGAACAGUUCUGCUCUCUAAUCCUGCUAUAUUCAUCCUUUUGAAGAGUAUCAUUUUACAACAGUCGGUAAAUUACAUAAAGAUUCAUUAUAGAGAUGAACAGGCACCCCAGAAUCGAAAAAGAGAACUUGAUUAUUUAUUUGAAAUAUGGGCGAAAUACCAGUCAGAACAAAUAACAAGAGCGAUAUUUGUAUAUAAUCUUUUAAACAUAUAUCAAUGUGCUAUGAAAUGAUCUAUGUGAUGAUUAUUUAACUUUUAACUCGGCC